AGUGAACGCUGGCGGUAGGCCUAACACAUGCAAGUCGAACGGCAGCACAGUAAGAGCUUGCUCUUACGGGUGGCGAGUGGCGGACGGGUGAGGAAUACAUCGGAAUCUACUUUUUCGUGGGGGAUAACGUAGGGAAACUUACGCUAAUACCGCAUACGACCUACGGGUGAAAGCAGGGGAUCUUCUGACCUUGCGCGAUUGAAUGAGCCGAUUUCGGAUUAGCUAGUUGGCGGGGUAAAGGCCCACCAAGUCGACGAUCCGUAGCUGGUCUGAGAGGAUGAUCAGCCACACUGGAACUGAGACACGGUCCAGACUCCUACGGGAGGCAGCAGUGGGGAAUAUUGGACAAGGGGCGCAAGCCUGAUCCAGCCAGACCGCGUGGGUGAAGAAGGCCUUCGGGUUGUAAAGCCCUUUUGUUGGGAAAGAAAAGCAGCAGGUUAAUACCCCGCUGUUCUGACGGUACCCAAAGAAUAAGCACCGGCUAACUUCGUG
RNAcentral lists this ribosomal RNA (492 nucleotides) under uncultured bacterium. RNAcentral describes it as "partial 16S ribosomal RNA". It matches the Rfam family "Bacterial small subunit ribosomal RNA", at positions 29 to 507 of the family's 1533-position model. The record is from RNAcentral.